Molecule: non-coding RNA, 2485 nt
Organism: Equus caballus (horse)
Lineage: Eukaryota; Metazoa; Chordata; Mammalia; Perissodactyla; Equidae
Source: RefSeq, a predicted model, not a curated record
GGAAGACUGGUAACAGAAGUUAGCUCAGGGCGAAUCUUCCUCACCAAAAGAAAAGAAAAGAAAAUGUACAAUAUUUUCAGGAUGGUUUGUCCUGCCUAAAGGCAUUUUUUUUUUUUUUUAAAUGAGGCACAUUGCUCUAUUUUAUACAAAUACAAAAGGCAAGAAGAACAGGAUCUGUUUUUACUUGGAUUCUGUUUUCUCUCUGUAGGCUGCGGCACAUACCCUCCGCAAACGGACACCAGGGAGUGCUGCGCUGGUGGCAAUCCAGGAUUGCCUGAGCUCUGCCAGCACCCUUCUCCUCACCUGUGGCCGUUCUCCCACCUGCAGAGUCUCCCCCUUCCCACUGGGCCUACCUUGUCCUACUCUGUCUGCCAGGUCCUCCGUGUGAUACAACUUCAAAGAUGCCAGUUUUGAGGUCCGGCUUAGAGGCAGGUCAGUUCUUUUCUUGAGCAGCUAAGUCCACACCCCAAGCACUUCCCUUGUCGGGCUCCAGACCAUCAUACAUCGCCCUGACCGCCUGGGGCCAGGUGCCAGACAUUAGGGACAGCCCCUGGGACCCGGGCCUGAAGACACUAUUCAAAUUAGCCAAGCCCCAGGGAGCCCCCAAACCUAACUCACCCCACCCCCUCGCCGCAUGUGCGCGCCCCCUGCCCCUCAGGCUGCCUGCUCCCCAGACCCAGUCCAACUCCCAGGGACCCUGCUGGUGACCUUCUUUCGUUCGGAGCUGUGAGUAACCAAAAGCUGUGCCUUGCAUCUGUUGGAGUGUGUUGUCCUUCCAUCCGAAAAAAUCUUUAACUCUUAUAGAAAUCCCUGAUUUCCCCCUGGCGUUUCCUCUCUCUCUUUUUCUUCUUGACGUUUUUGUUUGUUUUGGUUAAUUUUCCCAUAACACCCACUAUCUCUUAGCAAUUCACUAUGGUGUCUCCUCCUACCCUGGACUGAGAGGGCCACCAAGGCAGGAUUUCGUCGUUUUUAUUUUCUGCAGUGUCCCAAGCACUUGGCACAGCACCUGGCACAUCGCAAGCUCUCCACAUGAGACUACUGAAUCAAUUCUCGCACCUGCCCCCUGGCCCGCUGUGACCAGCCAGGCUGGCCAGCACCUUCGGUUGACUGGCGACAACCCUGGUGGGACCACUGCUGGGUCUCUUGGAUCCACCGCAAGAGGCGAAGAGCCCUCAGCAGGGAAAUCUGGAGGUGUCACUGGAUUGCUAGAGGCACAACCAGCUGGAACAGAGGUGCCUUUUCCCAGGGCAGAGAAAAUUGCAGGGGAGAGAUUGCCAGCUACGGGUUUCCAAAGGACCCAUGGAAGUGCCACACAAGACAAUUUGGACCUGCUGGAUGCAGAGAGCAGUGAAGCUAAAUCAACUCAACCCUGUCAGUCAAGAAAGAAGUUCCCUGUCUCCCUUCCUCUCCCUGAGCUCCAUGCUGAUCAGUCAGGAGCUACAGUUAGCAAAAGAGGGGAGGAAGGGUUUGUUUUCCUUUACUCUGACCUUAGACUUUCUAUCUGACUUGACCCCAAAAGGGGAAGGAAAAAGCAUGAAGUUUAAAGCACAUGGAAGAUUUGCCAAUCAUAUGAAAAUGGACAACCUAACUACCAAAUGGAACUGAUGUUUGUGACCCUGGAAUGGCCGUGUCUAAAUUUCCCUUUAGGGAAAAAGGAAGAACUAACAUCAGUGAGCAAAUUUAAAGGGAGAAUGGAAGACCAAGUAAAGUCACUAAAUGUUUCCAUAUGACUAUGCUAGGAUGAAGAAGGCUACUGAUAUUUACUUUUUGUCUUGUAACUAGUGACAGCACCAAAUUUUCUUAUUUAAGUGAUAUCAACAAGAAAUGGAUUUGGAUUUUCUUCGAUUAUUUAAUUCUUUUUCUCAUUGCUUUCGUUUGAACUGUCCCAAGACAAUGGUGAAUAGUAAUGGUAACAGCAGGCAUCCGUGUCAAAUUCUGAUUUUAACUGAAAAGGUUUUAAUGUUUCCCCACUAGGAAUAAUGUAUGCUGUUGGUUUUAAGUUAGACUUUAUUAAAUUCUAGUAUUUUUAUUCCAUUUUUAGUUUCUAUUUCUAUUUUCUGAUUUCCUUAAUAAAAUAAUAAAACAAUAAAGCACAUCUGCUGAAUUUGAUUAGAUGCGUUAUCUAUAUCUAUCAAAUGACAUUUCAGUGUCUAUUGAUGUUAUCAUAAAAUAGCUCCCUUUAGUUUAUCUAUUAGAUUUGGAAUUAUGUUGAUGAAUUUCCUGGUAUUGAAUCAUCCUUGUAGUCUUAGAGUAUUUCCAACUUAGUCGUAAUGUGUAAUAUUUUGGUACAUUUUUGGAUUGCAUUUGGUAAUAUUUACCUUUUUUUUUUUUUGCCUCUAAAGUCAUUUAGAGAGAUUGGUCUAUAGUUUUCUUGUACUAAUGUCAUGCUGGUCUAAUAAAAUAAAUUGAGAAGCAUCCUCCUUUUUCUAUGGUUUGGAAUAAUGUAAGUAAGACUGAAAUAAUCUGUUUUUAAUAGAUAAGAUAA